UGACAACUCUGUCCGUUGUGUUGUUUGCUUUAGCAGAAAGACCACAGCUUUCGCCCGUCUCCCAUCUUCAAGAUGGCGGAGGCAGCUUCAACCUCACCUCUCGCGAGGAGUUCGCUCGUUGUCUCUGAUUAGCCGAAGGGGGGGGCGGCUUCGGAGGUGUAAUUUGCACAAACCCAGAUUCCAGGUGGUCGUCUUCUGAUGGAGAACAAGGACAAACGUGCAUUCCUUCUCAGAGGCAGAAGCACUUAAGAAUGUUGUUACCGUCGUGCCGUGUCCGGCGCUGUGCUGAAAAUUGCGAGCUGCUGUAAUGAGAUGGCUCAGAGGUUAAGAGCAUUGGCUGCUUUUCCAGAGGUCCUGAGUUCAAAUUCCCAGCAACCACAUGGUGGUUCACAGCCAUCUAUAAUGAGAACCGGUGCUCUCUUCUGGCAUGUAGUCAUACAUGCAGACAGAACAUUAUAUACAUAACAAAUAAAUCCUUUAAGAAAAAAAGAUGACAUUCUAACCGGAUGAUCUGGAACUUGUCAUAUAGAUCAGGCUAGCCUUGAAUUCAAAAAUGAUCCACCAGUGCCUCCCAGUUAAAGACCUGCACCAUCACAUCCAGGUCCCAUCAUUCUGAAAAGGUUGGUGAAAAUAAAACAAAUGUCCAUCAACAGUUCAAUGAAUAAAUGUGGCAUAGUCCACAAUCAGUAGCAAUCAAAAUAAUGAAGCUAUAGGCUGGCCAUGUAGCUCAGUUGGUAGUGCUAACCUUAUGUUUCAGAAAUGGGUAAAUGAAACUAUAGUCAGGAGUGGUUAUUUCAGAGGAAAGAUGCAAUUAACAGGGUGGUGGCCAGUUUGUAACUCAUUGAUGGUGCUGUAUGGCUAGCUACUAAUAGGCCUGAUAAAACGAGCUGGACACUCCCCUUAAUAACAAAAAGACUGGACCUGCAAGAUCAAUUACUGGCCAGAAGAAUGGGACUCAAGUCUUGUCUCUAGCCCUGAGAGCUGGUAUGACAUGCUGGUCUGCCUGUAGGUUAGUAAUGUCAUUAAGUCAACCUGGCUCCAGGAGCCUUAAAUCUUAAUGACUGUAUAGUACUUAGCUUUCUAAUGAAGAAUGAAGCUGUAUCCCUACUGUCAUGUAAGAGUCACACCAGCAGGCCUGUCAACUGCCUACACAAGACAAAGACCUCUGAAACCUUUUGGUUUAGAAAUUGAAUAAAUAUUAUCUGAACUAUAGACCAGUGCAAUGGUCCCUUUGGCCACUGUGCACUCUUAACCUCUUGAAACUGCACUAUUCUGUAAAAAGUACUCUGCAAUAAAGCACCAAUCUUUUAAUCUUCUA
Cricetulus griseus (Chinese hamster) is the source of this 1318-nucleotide non-coding RNA. NCBI's taxonomy places the organism in Eukaryota, Metazoa, Chordata, Mammalia, Rodentia, Cricetidae. The record is from RefSeq and is a predicted model, not a curated record.